RNAcentral lists this ribosomal RNA (398 nucleotides) under uncultured bacterium. RNAcentral describes it as "bacterial SSU rRNA". It matches the Rfam family "Bacterial small subunit ribosomal RNA", at positions 362 to 776 of the family's 1533-position model. The record is from RNAcentral.
UAUUGCGCAAUGGAGGAAACUCUGACACAGUGACGCCGCGUAUAGGAAGAAGGUCUUCGGAUUGUAAACUAUUGUCGUUAGGGAAGAAAAAGGACAGUACCUAAGGAGGAAGCUCCGGCUAACUACGUGCCAGCAGCCGCGGUAAUACGUAGGGAGCAAGCGUUAUCCGGAUUUAUUGGGUGUAAAGGGUGCGUAGACGGGAAUUUAAGUUAGUUGUGAAAUCCCUCGGCUCAACUGAGGAACUGCAACUAAAACUGGAUUUCUUGAGUGCUGGAGAGGAAAGCGGAAUUCCUAGUGUAGCGGUGAAAUGCGUAGAUAUUAGGAGGAACACCAGUGGCGAAGGCGGCUUUCUGGACAGUAACUGACGUCGAGGCACGAAAGUGUGGGGAGCAAACAGG